GCUUAACACAUGCAAGUCGAACGAGGUCCACUGCGGAGCAAUCCAAGGGAAGACCUAGUGGCGAACGGGUGCGUAACACGUGAGGAACUUGUCCCGGUCUCUGGGAUAACAGUUGGAAACGACUGCUAAUACCGGAUGACGUCGGAGCCCUGCAUGGGGUACUGACGAAAGGGUUACCGGAUCGGGAGAGCCUCGCGGCCUAUCAGCUUGUUGGUGGGGUAAUGGCCUACCAAGGCAUCGACGGGUAGCUGGUCUGAGAGGAUGAUCAGCCACACUGGGACUGAGACACGGCCCAGACUCCUACGGGAGGCAGCAGUGGGGAAUCUUGCGCAAUGGGCGAAAGCCUGACGCAGCAACGCCGCGUGCGGGAAGAAGGCUCUCGGGUUGUAAACCGCUUUCAGCAGGAACGAAAAUGACGGUACUUGCAGAAGAAGGUGCGGCCAACUACGUGCCAGCAGCCGCGGUGACACGUAGGCACCAAGCGUUGUCCGGAUUUAUUGGGCGUAAAGAGCUCGUAGGCGGUUCGGUAAGUCGGGUGUGAAAACUUUGGGCUCAACCCAAAGCCUGCAUCCGAUACUGCUGUGACUAGAGUUCGG
This 596-nucleotide ribosomal RNA is filed under the name uncultured earthworm cast bacterium. RNAcentral's name for it is "bacterial SSU rRNA". It matches the Rfam family "Bacterial small subunit ribosomal RNA", at positions 46 to 651 of the family's 1533-position model. The record is from RNAcentral.